RNAcentral lists this ribosomal RNA (410 nucleotides) under Bacillus cereus. RNAcentral describes it as "bacterial SSU rRNA". It matches the Rfam family "Bacterial small subunit ribosomal RNA", at positions 1 to 398 of the family's 1533-position model. Lineage: Bacteria; Bacillati; Bacillota; Bacilli; Caryophanales; Bacillaceae. The record is from RNAcentral.
UUUAUUGGAGAGUUUGAUCCUGGCUCAGGAUGAACGCUGGCGGCGUGCCUAAUACAUGCAAGUCGAGCGAAUGGAUUGAGAGCUUGCUCUCAAGAAGUUAGCGGCGGACGGGUGAGUAACACGUGGGUAACCUGCCCAUAAGACUGGGAUAACUCCGGGAAACCGGGGCUAAUACCGGAUAACAUUUUGAACUGCAUGGUUCGAAAUUGAAAGGCGGCUUCGGCUGUCACUUAUGGAUGGACCCGCGUCGCAUUAGCUAGUUGGUGAGGUAACGGCUCACCAAGGCAACGAUGCGUAGCCGACCUGAGAGGGUGAUCGGCCACACUGGGACUGAGACACGGCCCAGACUCCUACGGGAGGCAGCAGUAGGGAAUCUUCCGCAAUGGACGAAAGUCUGACGGAGCAACGCC